GUGGCAAGCGUUAUCCGGAUUUAUUGGGCGUAAAGCGAGCGCAGGCGGUAUAUUAAGUCUGAUGUGAAAGCCUUCGGCUCAACCAGUAGUGGCUUUGGAAACUGUUGAGCUUGAGUGCAGAAGAGGAGAGUGGAACUCCAUGUGUAGCGGUGAAAUGCGUAGAUAUAUGGAAGAACACCAGUGGCGAAGGCGGCUCUCUGGUCUGUAACUGACGCUGAGG
RNAcentral lists this ribosomal RNA (220 nucleotides) under Acinetobacter baumannii. RNAcentral describes it as "partial 16S ribosomal RNA". It matches the Rfam family "Bacterial small subunit ribosomal RNA", at positions 531 to 751 of the family's 1533-position model. The record is from RNAcentral. Lineage: Bacteria; Pseudomonadati; Pseudomonadota; Gammaproteobacteria; Moraxellales; Moraxellaceae.